This 261-nucleotide ribosomal RNA is filed under the name uncultured bacterium. Its description in RNAcentral is "partial 16S ribosomal RNA". It matches the Rfam family "Bacterial small subunit ribosomal RNA", at positions 524 to 782 of the family's 1533-position model. The record is from RNAcentral.
UACGUAGGGGGCAAGCGUUGUCCGGAUUUAUUGGGCGUAAAGAGCGUGUAGGCGGUUUGGUAGGUCCGCUGUGAAAACUCGAGGCUCAACCUCGAGACGCCGGUGGAAACCAUCAGACUAGAGUCCGGAAGAGGAGAGUGGAAUUCCGUGGUGUAGCGGUGGAAAUGCGCAGAUAUCAGGAAGAACACCCGUGGCUAAGGCGGCUCUCUAGUACGGUACUGACGCUGAGACGCGAAAGCGUGGGGAGCGAACAGGGAUAGA